UACGAGAGGCCCAAACGUUAUUCGGAUUUACUGGGCUUAAAGAGUUCGUAGGCGGUUCGUCAAGUGAGGUGUGAAAGCCCUCGGCUCAACCGAGGAAUUGCGCUUCAAACUGUCGGGCUCGAGGGAGAUAGAGGUGAGCGGAACUGAUGGUGGAGCGGUGAAAUGCGUUGAUAUCAUCAGGAACACCAGAGGCGAAGGCGGCUCACUGGGUCUCUUCUGACGCUGAGGAACGAAAGCUAGGGGAGCAAACAGG
RNAcentral lists this ribosomal RNA (253 nucleotides) under uncultured bacterium. Its description in RNAcentral is "partial 16S ribosomal RNA". It matches the Rfam family "Bacterial small subunit ribosomal RNA", at positions 524 to 776 of the family's 1533-position model. The record is from RNAcentral.